Non-coding RNA from Triticum urartu, 13819 nucleotides. The record is from RefSeq and is a predicted model, not a curated record. NCBI's taxonomy places the organism in Eukaryota, Viridiplantae, Streptophyta, Magnoliopsida, Poales, Poaceae.
GCCGCAUUUUACAUAUCCUCUUGUCUCGCUCACUCUCUCAUCUCCUAUCGUCUCACUCACACAAACCCUCUUGCCCUUUCCCCUCCCCCCGCCGCAUCACCGCCCGCGUCGACGAGCAGGAAGACCCACUCUCCCCUCCGCCGGCCACCGCAUCGGUCUCCUGCAUCCACUGACCUUGGGGCUGCCUGCUGUGGGCUGCGUGACCGAGCGGGACGGAUGGGGCGCGCUUCCUAGAGCACCUGUGGGUGAUGGAUGCGUUCCCGUUCCGGUCGGAUCCGCGGCGGCGCUACUCUCCGGCGAUGUCGCAGCUGGAUCCGCAACGACGCGUCACUACCUGCAAUGACACAACUCCGGUAAGCCACUACCCAUGCUUGGCAAAUCCAUUCAACGCGGGCUGCUCAGAUCCGCCCCUCCUCGUCUUCUUAGCCACUGAAUUCCUUAUCUGUUCUCUCUGUGCCGCGGCGCCAUGAGCAAACCUCACAUGGACGGCGAGGACAACGACUGCUGGGGGAGGGGAAAACAUCACAAGAAAAGCAUGCAGAAAGGAGGAGGAGACCGGUAGCUAGCUAGCUUCCUCCACUGCAUCGGAAGCCAAAUGUAUUCCCUCGCCUAGUCCAGUCCAGGGAGGGGGCAGAUCAUAUCCGAUGUCAUGGAUUUGGAUCUCAACUGCGCGCCGCCGUCGCCGGAGCCCGCGCCCCAGGACCACCGCCUCGGCCACGCAAUGCUCCGCCAAGAACACGCCUACCGCCACCAGGUCGAGGAACUGCAUAGGCUGUAUUGGGCGCAGAGGAAUCUCAGGCCUGAUGUGCCCUUCUGGGAGCAAUCCCAUGAUGUCCUCUAUCCCACCCAUUCCAUGCCCAUGGCUACUUCCUCCCAAUCCGACAUGUCUCUCUGCUUUGCUGUCAUCUGGGAUCUGCUGGGUGCUUCUUCUCAUGAGCUACGAGGCAAGCAGGCCAUUUGGUGUGGCAAUGGGGUCGCAGGGAAAUUGGGUGUUGAGGGCUCAGUCAGGAGAAAACCUGAUCAUGGUGGUGUACACGGGAGGUCUGGUUACCGCCAUAUGAUCGAUCUGGAGAAACCAGCGACAUCAGAGGACGACGAUGAUGAUGUGGAAAUCUUGUCUCCUGCUCGGUUCAGUGACUAUGCCAAGCGCAAUGCUGGGUUUGCGGAUAAUUCUCAGUGUUAUCCAAGGGAGAAUGCUGCCCAUGUUCAUUUCGGUGGAUAUUUUAGCAGUUCAGCUGUCCAAAAGAGAAAAUGAGUUGCUUCAGCAGAAAACCGAGGUCACGAGAAUAGCGACUUCACUGAAACUGGCUUCUGAAGAUGCUAUUAGAAUUUUUGACGAAGAACGAACUAAUGCACGCAUGGAGAUUGAAAAUGCUAGAGCUGCUGUACAAAGAGUUCAAAAAGUACUUAAAGUGAAAGAGAACAGUUCACAAAUAAUUGGAAAGCAGAAGAGAAAGAUCCAGAAAGUUGCAUACCUAGAGGAACUCGCCUUCUUGAUGCCCCAUGCUUACUGAAGGUCGACAUCGACUAAGUACAAGCGACCGUAGGUCACAAGGAGGCGUGGAACUGCAGCAGCCCAUCUGUGACAGAGCAGACUCCUGCGAAUUUGCCCAGUUAGGUACAUCCGAUACAUGGUAGCAACUUGAAGAAAAUUCUUCCUUUUUGCUUCCAUGACCUGAUAUCCUCCUCGCUGAUGUAUCGAGGAGCCGUGACCCGGCCUCACAGGCAGGGCCAGGGCGAAGACGUAUCCCCGACGGCCAAGACACAACCACGGUGGUGAUUUUUGAUGGUGAGACAGAGCAGACUCGAGCGACUUUGCCCAACCAGUGCAAAUGUGUUCCUUGAUCAACUAAACUUGGUGAAUGUACAAUCAGGAUCAGCCUUGAAGCCUUAUCAUGCAAAGCAUGCAGGAAAUGAUCGUUGGAUUUCAGUAAGACUUGAACAUGAGGUACUGAUCAAUAAGAAAAACUAUUCCUCUCCCAUUUUCGUUACUCUAUUCAGGAGCAGAUAAAAGAUAAUAAGCGUUUAUUCGCUAGCUGGAAUUAAAGGCAAGGCGCGAGAGAGCAAGAUCAAGGACACCUUCAAUAUUUAAGAAUACAUGCAAGGAGUACCUCAGGGGCCUGUGACUGAGCAUGAAACUGCAAGUCGAAAUAAUGUUUGCUUCCAACCCAGUUGGUUCCUGCGGUCCUCUCUACUCCAGCGCUCGCAAGGUUACGAACAACAAGGUUGAAGCAUUCAGGAUGAAGUUUCUUAUGAAAAAAAGGGUGUCCUGGAUCAUUCGGAGGCUGAUUUCGAUCUGGUACGGCCGGGCACUUUUUAUCCAUAUUGAGCUGCAAAAAAAUGCACAACAACAUAUAGCAAAAGACAUAAAUGGUCCUCUUCUAGUUUAACUUUGUCUACAUUAACCUAUAAACCGAAUUCAUGUUUAGAUUGCAUGACAUUGCACGAGGUCAGAUUGUCCUCACCUAGAUGUAUCUACACGUAUCAAAUAUAGAAUCUGAAUUCAUGGCCUUUGCAUGACAUUGCAUGAGGUCACAUUGUCCUCACCUACACGUAUCUACACGUGUCAAAUCAACUAAAAAUGUAUACAUGUACCUAUGCAUGUUUUAGGAUUGCCAGUCUAGCUAUCUUUCCUUGAUAUGUACCAGAGUGUUCCAACAUGAUUUGUAUGUAGCAAAAGACAACUUACUUUAAUGUAUCUUGGUCUCGAAUGCCCAUGAUAAAGUGAAAUAUGUAUUCGAGUGCAUCUUCCACGGCAUGCAUUGGUGGAGGCAGAUGAUCCAUGGGCGCAGGCACAUCCUCCUGGGGCCUGGGAAUAUCCUCCUGGGGCACGGGUGCACCCUCUUGGGGUGCGUGCGCAGCGCUCCCAAUGAUCGCCUCCAUGCGAUAGAAAAUUCGUUCUUGAUCAGAAAUUGCUGAUGGGAUAUAUGUGAACUUAGGUGGAUGGUGAAAUAGUAGGCAGAUGGAGUUUAUCAUUUUGUUACCGUGAAAUCUAAUAUAUUGGAGAGUUGAUAUUGACUUCCAAAUGAUGACCGCCGUUUAAUUAAUGCCGUUAUUCAUUUCCUUGUAGAAAUUAUUAUUAAUUGUGGACGGAUCUUAUAUAUCUCCCAAUAUUAGAUAAUAUCUUCCCAAUUCCAUUAUUUCAGCCCACUUCCUUUACAUGUACAAGCAUUAUUUCUUUAUUAGGAAAAUCAUAUCUCUAGAUUUAAUACAAUCUUAUUUUUCUAUCCCAGACAAAUGAAAUAUUUAAUGUACGAACUCAUAUUAAUGUAUAUACACCGAAGGAUUGCAACGGAAUACGUCUGCUAAUAAAUUAGAUAAGAUGUAAAAGAUCCAAACUUGAUAAAACAAUUUAGUUUAUUUAUUUCCCAAAUCCACGCACAUUUUUUGAUUUUCUCUUUCCUGUUUGAAAAAGACACCUAUUUUUUCGUCCUCUGAAUCAGUUAUUAGUGCCUCCUUUAUUUUAUUAUUUUAUUGUUAUUUAACGUCAUAUCUAGGAAUAUAUGGCUAUUCUGUUUAGAGAAAGUUCAUACAUAGAACACAAAAUAUUUUCGAUUAUAUUAUAUUUGAAAAAGAUGUGACUCCAUUAGAGUAGCUUAAUAAUAAUUUUCUUCUCCCCACCUCAAAUUAGAAAAUGUUGGUCACGUAUAUUGUUUGUCGAAAAAUGCUGGCACCGUAUUGUACUUUAUGUAGUCAAUAAGAAAACACCCUGGCGGGGACUUAUUUUGGUUACUCUAUUCAAUAACACAUACAAGAUAAUCAGCGCGUUAUCAGAAACAAAAUGAACACGACAGAGAUAUGUGGAUCACAUGCGAACUUGAAGAUUAAAGGGAAUGGAAGCAACGUGCCUUAUAACAAACAUGUUUUUUAGUUGGCUAUUCCAUAGCUAGCAUGUGACGAUUUCCGACCCAAUAAUCCUACACUUACGGGGCAUUGGACACGGGAAAGAGGUUACGUGCUAACGUGCCUACUCUUCAUUAAUCUCUUCCACCUUGAAUUUCGUUGAGGGUCCCAUCACUAACUAACCACAGAUUUGCACUUUCAUCCAUAACUCCUUUCGUGUCAAAACAAUCCGUAAGUAUAGCAUUUCCCUUUCCGACCCUUGUAACGUAUAGCAGUGCGUGUAUGGAUGGAGUUACACGAUAUAUGAUGUGAGGGAUGACUGAAAACCUCAUUUGCCGGCUGAACCUGCCAUGGUCCAUUCCAAAAUGCCUCCGGUUCACCGGGAGCAACAAACCUGCUCCUGACCGCACCGGUAUUAUAGUACAAAAUAUACGUAGAAGCCAAAUUAUAUAGAUAGAACCAAAACAAGCAGACAACGUUGAAGCGAAGACGAAGCUAGAGGGUGCAAUCGAAGCAUUUAUUCCCUACAUAUAUAUAAUCCAAUACAUUAUUCAUAUUGCCAAAAGGAUAAAUCUGAUAUUUGAUCCCUAACAAAGCUAUAUUGGCUUAUUAUAUCUGCGACAUUUGAAUAUGCAUCAGUCCAUAGUCAUUCGUCCAAAAACCUCAAGGCCGCUGUAAUUUCAGCUGGGAUGUUUCCAGCUGCUUCAUUGCCUUUGAUCGUCAGCAUCUGGACCAGCAAGUUCUUUCUGAGCUGUAUUGAAUCCUAGAAAACAUAAAAAAAUGAAUUGUUAUAUAUAUGUAGGGAAUAAAUUGCUGAAGAAUGAAUUGCACAACAAACCUAUGUGAGUGGAAGAACAUAAAUUUAUAUUCAACAAAUAUAUGGAAGAGAGAAACUUGAUAUAUAUGCACCUACCAAAGUCCUGGAAAUGUUAUGCCCGAGAGUAUCAUCUUGGUGAGCCAUCUCCUGUAGGAGUUUGAAUCCAGAGUCCAGGCUGUGACAAAAAAACUCCAUAUGUUAGAACCUAUACCAGUGAGGCUAUAAUGUGCAUGACCAAUUAAAAAUAUUACUGCGGGGCUGUAAUAUAGGUAUGAUCUUGUGGCCAAUCCACGAGUUGGGGAUUCAAACCAGGCCUCUCCUGUUGCAAUACACUGCCAAAUUCUUGCAGAACUAUCAGGGCUUCCUUCUUAAGUUCCUUGUCAUGAAAGUCCUCUGAUCCUAGGAAUGACUCGUUAGAAUGAUCAAUCAGGAGAGUCCUCCUAUUUUCAAUAUUAAUUGCAAGGAGGCCGUAGGAGGAAUCCACCAAAUACAACGGCAAUAGGUACUGCAAUAAGUAUACAAAGUUAAUGGUGAACAGAUAGUAUACACACCAAAUUUUAAGAAGAAAAAUCCUUACAAUGGACGGGGUCAUGAGCACGUUGUAUUUCGGGAAAGGCCGUACAAUGACAUUGUUAAUCAACAAGUUGGUGCGUUCAGCUAGGCAUAAGCCAGUCUGACUCAGCACCCGUGCUAGGCCAUGGAAUUGCAAAUCAAACAUAUGCGUGGAGUCAAGAAAGUCUGUUCCUGCGUUCCUCUGUAUCGCGUCGCUACUAAGCUUACGCACUGCAAGAUCGAAGCAGCUCGGAUUGAUCCAUGUAUCACCUCGCAUGUGUCUUGGAUAGUCCGUAGACUUAACUCGAUCACGAAUGGACGAGGGCUCCUUAUCCAUAUUGUGCUGCAAACAAACCGGCAUGAUAAAAUCAGGGUAUCAUAAAAAUAUUGUACUUCAAUAUGUGGGCAAACAAUACUUAGUAUUCACAACUCUAGAAAGGUCUGAAAUGUAUGUACCUAAAAAUUGGAAUUGUCGUGUCAUUUGAGGAAAUAAAUACUAUUUCGUAAGAUAACCAAAUUUAUUAUGAUAUGUUCGGUUGCAACUUAUUCCUAUUACAGAUAUGAUAAAAUCUAUAGAUGGUACAUGUAUCAUGCACCAGGACCCGUUGCAAUAUACUAUAGUUCAUUGAAAAUUUGUAGUUUAAAAUAACGUGCUGUGGAUGGUACUAACAUGGCGUAAUGUAAAAGGAUAAUAUUAGCGCAUGACCAGAUUUUUGCAACCACUACGUUAGAUCUUAAGAACCAUAUGGACUUAGAAAGGAUCGCAUGAUCCUAACCAGUGCAUGCAUGCAACAACUUAUGAACGUGACCAACUCAUCGACGUGGAUUAGGUGAAAGAACAUAUUUUUACUCGGGUUCAAAAUAAGAUGCCGAUAAUGCAUAAUAUAAUGGUACUGAUCUGCAGCUAAUAAUUGCAAAUAAAUUAUAGAUAUAGUUUAGGGCUGCCAGAACAAACUCUAACUGCUCCUCGACUGAGGAAAGCAUGACGUGGUUGUAUAUGUACUCGACUGCGUCGUUCACUCCAUCAAAAAUCGGCAUUGCAGCCAUUGGCACGGGCAGAAAGUCGUCUUAGCACCAGGACGAGCGAGCGAGGGGGCAGUGGACAACGGUGGACUCACAGCCGGACCAUAUAUAUAAGUGUCCGGCACCAGGCCGGUGACGCAUUAGCAUGUUGUAUGGAUUGGAAGGUGCCCCUUAUUAUUCCAUCCGUGCACGUUUCCAUCAUAGAUCCUUGCUAAUAAAAGGACAAGCAUAUUUUUUCUUCCAAACUCCACUGGGCAAAUAAAUAUACGCCGGAUUAUAUAUCUAUUAUAUAUGUCUCUCUUUCCCGAUCGGAAGAAGCCUAAUAUAACUUUCCUUAAAAACAAAUCCGAUUAAGGGAAUAUUAAUGGCCACACUGGGAAACCCAUUGAACGUAUGGUAGGCCGGACCGGGAGAUUGGGCAAUAUAACGUUUUGGAAGGAAAUGACUUUAAUGAUAAUUAUAAUUCUAAUUGACAUAUCCUCGCCGGGAGGAAUCGUGGGCAUGUACUCGGAAGGUGGCCCAUAUCCUUCCAUAAUUACAAUAUUCCAUAACAAAAACUAUAGGAAAACAUGGUAUAAAAUUAUUUUCAUUGCAUGCUCCACCCGGCAAAUGUAUCAACACCGGAUUAUAUAUUUCCUAAUUUAUGACUCCUUUCCAAACUUUGCCUUCAGAUAUAUAAAAAGAAACAAUUAGUUUAUUUCCCAAAUAUACGUCAAACACGGGCGUCCGAGAAAUAUAAAGAAACACAACGUUUUUUCUUCUUCUAUUUUUGUCCUCCUCACCACGACCAAAAAGCCCGCGCCACUUGAAGAACUAUUGUUUCCGUGUGUAGAAAGAAACACAACACACGGGCAUACGGCAGUCCUUGAUUCCUUUUUGCGCUGCACUGUAUAUUAACAAAUUUGAACCUAGACUGAAAGAGAUUCAUACGUGUAGCUCAAAUGAGAGUAGACAUGCUACCAUUUGAAGUCCAUUAUUGACAGUUUGGUCAUCAAAUAUAUAUUAGUCAAAUAUAUAGUUCAGAACUUCACAUUAUAUGGCUCUGAAAUAUGACGACACUGUUAAAUAGAUUUUUUUUAUUGAAUAUCACAUAUUAUUAAACCUCCAAGACAUAAGCGAACACUUCAUAAUGUGACAAUUGGCAACAAAAUGUUGCAUGCAAAGCGUUCAUACAUUUUUAUAUCCAAGACAAAUUGUGCACUUGUGUACAAAGAUAAUUCUAGCCUCCAUUGUUCCUAGCUUGAACAACACCAUUGACGUACGCACGUGUUUCGUCAAGUGUCAUGAGGCUGGCUUCAUGGAUAUCUAUGAUAAAAAUCAGUGUUAUAUAGUAGUGACAUAGUAAUACAUAAAAAAUACAUUGACAACAAAUUUAAAAUAGAACGCAACCCCUACCUUGUAGAUAAUGAUGAUCAUCAUUAAUGUUAGUAGAGAAGAAGAAUGUGCUCUCCCUCAUAGUUUGCAAGCAUCGCUACCUUCGAUUUACCUGAAUGUAAGUAACAACAAGCUUCUCGAACAGCUUGUCAGUGCAUUGCAAGUGGCAGAAGUUUCGCCCAACGUGCUCUUCACGUACACGUAAGAAAAUUAUCUGCCGUCUAUAGACAAAUACAAAUGUUAGUCUGUCAAUGCAACAAUAAAAUUACAAAAAAAAGCAUAUGAAAAUCUCAAAUCAUAAAUGGCGCUUACUGAAAGUUCAUGACGCCAAUCUCGAGUGAAGGGACGCGGCGUUCAUAUAUUGAAUCCCACUUAUAUUCUAUCUGACCAACGUAGGCAAGGAUAGCAACCACAUCUGCAAAUUUGAAAUCACAAUGAGACGCUGAGUUGUACGGAUUAAUAUGCAAGAACAAAUAUAAAGAUGAUGCACCAGUGAUGGUUUUGUCCCGUAGCUCAAAUAUUUCUCCAAAUUGUGGGAAGCACGGUGGGAAAAUUGUCGACGUUAUUUGCUGUGCCGACAUCCUAACCUCAGUCAUAGCAGUUAGUGUGGUGACAAAGUCAAUGGCUAGGUACCAGAAAUGUCCAUCUGGCAAAUCUGUGGGGUUGAACCCGACGCGAUUGAAAUCAUAGGUCCUACCGGUUUGUAGUAUGCUGUUGAAACGGAUUGCCUGGCUGUUGUACGCAAUCGCUUCCAACUUUGUUCCCUAAUAUAUAUUUAUGAACCAUAACAACUAUGAGCAAAAAAAUACAUGUUUAUCAAAAUUGUAUUUUGAAAAUGUGGGCUAUCAAGUAGAUGAUUAAUGCCUUACCAACCGAUCAAGUAGUAUGCACUGAAGGUACAAGUUUCCCAUGCCAUUCUCUUUGAUGUGAGCCUUCCAUAUGACCCUAGCUUGAAUAAUCCAGCAAUUCCGAUAUAUGUGCUCCAUUUGGACGCGAUGAAAAUUCAAGUUCCUGUGCGUAGAAUAAAAACAAAAGGAUGAGGUAAAAUUAUUUUGCAAGGGGAGGAUAAAAAUAAACAAACAAGGAACAUAACAUUCUAGUGGCCAAACAAUGGUGAUUAUUUCAAUAAAAUAACACAUUAUCUAGUGAUGGCAAAUAUACGUACAAAAAUAUUAUUCUAUCUUGCCUGUUCAUCGGAGGGGUGAUGGGACUGAUGACAGGAACUGGCGGCGACGCCAUCACCCUCUUAGAGGUGAACGAUCCGUAUGAGAUUACCAUUGUAGUCGUGGAGGAGAUGACUUCUCCUCUACAUAAAGAUGGUGACAAAUAUGGUGCAGCGGGGCUUUGUUUAUAUAAGCAUAGGGCGGCGGGAAAACGAAAUAGUGAUGAAAAUUUGUUUUUGACUGGCUAGGCCCCCGUGGGUGACAUAUCUAUAUUAAGAUAUUUAAUAUUUGGCAACCUAUUAAAAAUUGUUUAUUAAUCAAGGAAACAGACAUCUCAAAAUCGGGCCAUGAUCUUUCGUAAUGAUUCAUAUUAUAUUUCAUUAAUGCAAAUUUGUGAUUUAUGAUCACUUGCCUAUGAAAACGUAUCUGAUUUUUCAUUUGCCUAUGAAAAAUUAAUUUUCUUCUAUAUGGAUAUUUCUUAACCUUUAUGAUAAUCACAUUAAUAUAUUUAUUGUUUUCCCUUCUAUUAUGUUAUUUUCCAUUACCUUGAUGAUAUCUUUAAUUAUGUUAUAGGUUAUUGCCCGUGCGCAGCUACGGGACAAAUGUUAAUUUUAGUAUUUUCAAAUAAAUCAUGUAUAACACAUAAAUUUACGAUCCUAAUGUAUAUCAAAAAAUAUAAUUGGACUGCAAAUAUUUCAGUCAGACACAGCUUUGCAAAAGAUCAUAUUGUUUAUUCUUUUUCAUCAUAACAAUCUAUACAACGCACAUACGUACAAAUGAUAAACAAUAGUAGAGCACCAAAAGAUAAUAGUAGUAGAAGUACACGCUCCCAUAGCUAGCACACAACAUAAUUUUGUCUAUCUAUGCCUAUGCAUUAGUAGCAACGGUAUUAGACACAUGCCACUCUCUGUCCAUGCAUUAGCAGAACAGCACAAGAGCGGCAUAAUUCGGUCAAAAAAAUGGCUCAUCUCUCGCUCUGUCUCCCGAACGGAGCAGCAGAAGCCAGCAAGCCCAUGGCGGCGUCGGCCCCCUGCCCGUCCCUCUCUUAUCUCCCUACACCUCGAAACGAACUGAUCCCCUCCAGCAGCGGCCGAAGCCACCGUCCUUCUAGCAGCUCCAGGUAUCCAGCCUCGGCGGCCACGCAAACGCGCGGAUGUAGACAAUAUGAUCAUGGUCAUGCCGUGUCAAACGAUGUAGGCAUAAGCAGAGUACAUGACAUUAAACAAAUUAGUCCAAAAAUGUGUUCCACGCUGUAGAAUUCAGACAAAGAAAAUCAGUGAAAGGAUAAAAACUUAUAUCAUAAAGGGUUUGUUUCAUCCUCAAAUCUUAUUGUAUAUCCUACUUCUUCUCCAAGUUCCACACCAACUUCUUCAGCUACUCUAGAUGCAAGCGUAUGUUCAAAUUAUUAAAAUGGGUUGAAAAGGUAAUUGAGAGCAGAGGAUAUGCAUCUACAAAGGUAGUCUAAUAGCAGGAAAAAAAUUAAAACAUUUUCAGCUACCAUCUUCUAAGCAGUACAGUUAUGGUUCUAUCAGCUGACUGCUCCGUAUAGGAUGUUAGAAAUCACUGCCGGAGCACAUGAAUAAUUUUGCAGGAUGAAGUCUCCUGUUACAGAUACACUUUUGGGCACUAUGGCCACUACCACAUGGCAACACUGUCACAAACGGGUAGGUCACAAAGGGGAAGCUGGAUAAAUCUCCGUGGCUGAGGCCAGAGAAAGUCCUCCAAGCUUAUCUUUUACUAGUUAUCAAUCUCUAAUAAUUUAUUUAUUUGAUUCAUGUUGCCCGGGUUUGAUUCAUGUUGCACCAGAAAAUCCAUAAGUAAUACAGAAGCUUGCUCUAGAUAAUUAGCUAAGAGCCUUAGUCGCCAUGCUAGUUGCUAAGGACGUACCCAAAAGAAUAUAAUCUGGUGCAUGCUAUUAUUAGAAGGUAAAUAGAGAAACCUAGUAUUAAAUGGCAUCUAGAGAAGGAUAAACAUUUUGAUGAACAUUUAAACAGUUGAUACCUGCACAGCCAAUCGUCUUGGCUGGGUGCAACCUAUAAGUCGACCACCCCCAGCCCAACCAGCAUCAUUAAAAUACUGCAGAACGAUGCUUCCUCUCUGAACCAAUACUCGCCAGGUCCUAGAUUAAUGCAGCCUUAUACAAUUUUUUAGGUUAGAACUCUUUCAGAUCCGCAGUAAACUCAUGAAGGUACAUGAGCCAAUGCAAGAAAUUAAAAUAAAACUUGAGCUGAACUGAUAAAUAAUUAGUUUAGAUACGUGAAAGUACAAAUAAUCAAUCUUUUUUCCAAAAUAUUGCACACUUCAGCGAUCAGACACGUGCAUUGUCACAUUCUCCAGAGUAGCACGUGCAUUUGAACAUAUUUGCAAGUACGCAGGCUACCAUUUUAUUAUUUAUUAGAUGUACAUAUGCAAAAUAUAUCUUGAAAAGCUACACAAACUUCCCUUCUGCGUGUGUUGGUCUUAUAAUUCAGACCAAUCAUAAUCCUAUACUUCUGACAUAUCAGAAUAAUACAGGGAUAAUAAGGACGCCAAUAAAUUUACAUUCAACCAUACUAUCAAAAUACCAAAAUAAUAACAAUGGAUAUGAUCACUUGCCGUAACACAAAAGUUUCAUUGCAUGUUCAAGGUAUUUUUCAGGCCAAUCAUUAUAUCUGAAUCACAUAUCACACAUGAAAUACUACGGUGGGUGACAUGUACACUGCCAGAAACAUUGCGAUAGUAGAAAAGAUAUAACAGCGAUGAUGGUGCCAACAUGACGGCUGAUUAUUGAAAUGCAUUUAGUAGCUCAACUAAAUGGAGUAUACAUCCAACUAUCAAAAUACCAAAUAAAAAGGAUAUAUGUAAAAACGAAUUACAAUAAAUCUUGACCAUCACAAGAGUAAAUGUUGCGUCAUUAGAUAACCUGCCGGUCUAUUAAGACCGGACUUCAGCCUGUAAGGACUUCCUUGUAGACGAUGUUCUUCAUCGAGGUUAGUAAGGACACGGUCGGACUUUUUCGCUUCUUUGGAUUGUCCUUUUGCUUGUUGGACUUCUCCUUCGGCUUCUCCUUUUGAAUGAGUAUCUUUAUGUUUCUCUUUGCGGUGGCUCGAGACAAAGCAACAUAGAGCUGAUCAUGAGAGAACACGGGAUUGGGUAGGUAGACACCAACAAUCGGGAUUGUCUGCCCUUGAGCCUUGUUAAUGGUCAUAGCAAAGCUAAGCCUUAUAGGAAAUUGCUUCCUCUUAAACUUGAACGGAAACAUGUCGUUUUCAGAUGGGCAGAGAGGUAUUCGAGGAAGGAAGACCCUCCUGCCAGCGUGUUGUCCAAUCACGAUUUCGGCAUCAAUGGUGUUCCUCUCAAAACCUCUAUCAACAAGCCUAGUGCCGUUACACAAUCCAUUUGCUGGAUCAAUGUUCCUUAGAAGUAUGACAAGGCAGUUCAGCUUUAGCUUGAGUGCAUCCGGAGGAAGACCGUUAGGAGUCAAUCCAUUCAGAAAUUCCUGAGCGUAGUAGCCAUAUGGGUCGUCCUCCGCACUGUCAAAGCUAUGGUAUAUUACUUCAUCUCCCUGAAAACGCUCUAUCAUGCGUAUGUUUAUCUUGUCGACAUUGUCGUUUGUCGUGGAAAGGAUUGCUCGAGAUGUCAUGUAAUUUGAAUCAGACAUGUUGUCAUCUAGACUCGGAAACACGUGGUGAAUAAGCUUCUCCAGGUCGUCAACCUCGCCUGUAGACGGCAGACAAAUGUCUUCAGGGGGAAGUAUGUUGCCUUGAUCGUCGACUUCCUCAGUGCCAUUGCCGACCCUUAGCAAGUAAUUUGCAAACCACGUGUCAUUAUGAGCCCUCAUGUUGGUGAUGAGCCGAAGCUGCCGCAUACCCUUCCAUAGAUGAGAACUUCGUAGGGUUGCAUCAAUUAUCUGGCCCCGCGACCCCCUUCUGACGACCGGAAGCACCUGCCUAAAGUCCCCGCCAAAAACAACAGUCUUUCCUCCAAAGGGUUGGUCACGUAUUCCCAUGAUGUCGCGCAUGCUAUUGUCCAAUGCCUCGACCGCUUGUCGUUUCGUCAUGCUGGCCUCGUCCCAUAUUAUCAAUGAGGCCAUCCUAAGCAGCUUGGCGGUCCCACUCUGCUUCGUGAAGCUGCACGAGGCUCCAUCAUCGCAACUCAAUGGGAUCUUGAACCUCGAGUGGGCAGUCCUGCCACCAGGCAUGAUAGAAGCGGCGACGCCCGACGUCGCGGUAGCGAUACCAAUCUUGCCAUCGCUCCUCACCUUGGCAAGAAUCGCCCUGUAUAGAAAGGUCUUCCCUGUACCUCCAGGGCCAUCAAUAAAGAAUACACCCCCAUCACCGCGUUCUAACAGUCGCUAGUAUCUCGUCGUAUGCGGCACUCUGCUCCAAGUUCAGGGAAGAUGCCAAUUUAGUGUCAUGCACGUCAAACUCAACGGUUGAUUCCUCGAUGACCUCUCUUGCCUCACCCUCGGUUGGGUCAAACGCAUCAUCUAUGCUUUGAAGAGCGAAAUCAACAAUGUCUUUACCCAUAGAUUGCAACAUACCCCUAAUGUCAAGCAACACCAUCUGCUCCACCUCGACAGGGGACGUGCGUGAUCGAUGAUAGUCAUCUGACAUAGGAUCGAGGUGCCUAUGCCAUAAACCAUGCACUUCGCCUGGCUCGCAGUGCACCAAGAUGGUUGCGAAGAGCCUCCUAAGAGAACAUGGCAUCACCCACUGCUCAGCCUCAGUAAGACAGUCGUCGAGCGUGUUGUCUGCCUCGAUGAGUCCCAACCUUUCAGCAGCCUCUCUAAAGCUCCCACAUAGAACGCCGUCCAUGGUGAGCAAGUCAUCGAAGGAUGUUUUUCCCGUAACAUGGUUUAGCAACACAUGCAGGUAGUAUCGGUCACCCUCGGCAGGAUUGGCAGACACGAUGCGACCUAUUUGAAAACGCUCGACCCGCGGCUUCCAAAACUUCUUUUUCUUCUGCCACGUGAAGCUUCCAGGAAAAUCCUUGUACAAUAUAUGCCUAGCCCGAGGGUGUUCCUGGUUAGCCUUGAAAUACUCCGUUAACAUGGAUUUUGAAUUAU